This 471-nucleotide ribosomal RNA is filed under the name uncultured bacterium. RNAcentral describes it as "bacterial SSU rRNA". It matches the Rfam family "Bacterial small subunit ribosomal RNA", at positions 335 to 799 of the family's 1533-position model. The record is from RNAcentral.
ACUCCUACGGGAGGCAGCAGUGGGAAUAUUGGACAAUGGGGGAACCGUGCAUCCAGCGAUACCGUGUGUGUGAAGAAGGCCUGCGGGUUGUAAAGCACUUUCAGUAGUGAGGAGGAUUGCGUGUUUAAGAGAUGCGCAUGAAGACGUUAACUACAGAAGAAGCACCGGCUAACUCUGUGCCAGCAGCCGCGGUAAUACAGAGGGUGCGAGCGUUAAUCGGACUUACUGGGCGUAAAGGGUGAGUAGGCGGAAUUGUAAGUUAGUUGUGAAAGUCCAGGGCUUAACCUUGGAAGGUCAAUUGAUACUGCAAUUCUAGAGUUCAGCAGAGGAGAGUGGAAUUUCCGGUGUAGCGGUGAAAUGCGUAGAUAUCGGAAGGAACACCAGUGGCGAAGGCGUCUCUCUGGGCUGAAACUGACGCUGAUGCACGAAAGCGUGGGUAGCAAACAGGAUUAGAUACCCUGGUAGGCUCUG